RNAcentral lists this ribosomal RNA (411 nucleotides) under Acanthamoeba sp. IMU17. RNAcentral describes it as "bacterial SSU rRNA". It matches the Rfam family "Bacterial small subunit ribosomal RNA", at positions 347 to 770 of the family's 1533-position model. The record is from RNAcentral. Lineage: Eukaryota; Discosea; Longamoebia; Acanthamoebidae.
GGCAGCAGUGGAGAAUAUUUGACAAUGGGCGAAAGCCUGAUCGAGUAAUGUUACGUGGGUGAUGAGAAGGCUUAAUUGCCGUAAAACCCGUUUCGUCAAGGAUUAUAAUGCAAUCGUACUUGAAGGAGAAGCCCUGACUAACUUCGUGCCAGCAGUCGCGGUAAUACGGAGAGGGCUAGUGUUAUUCGCAUUGACUGGGUGUAAAGGGUGCGUAGGUGGUUUAUUAAGUUUCAAAGAAAAUAUUAAGCAUAGAGCUUAAACGCUUUUUAAUACUAAUAGACUAGAGUUUAAAGGAAGAUAGCUGAACAUUAGGUGUAAAGGUGAAAUUUUUCGAGAUCUAAAGGGCAGUCAAUAGGCGAAGGCUGCUAUCUACUCUAAUACUGACACUGAGGCACAAAAGCAUAGGGAUCA